GGCUGGGUAGCUCAGCUGGUUAGAGCGCAGGACUCAUAAUCCUGAGGUCGAGAGUUCGAGUCUCUCCCCCGCCACCA
This 77-nucleotide transfer RNA is filed under the name Paracoccaceae bacterium. Its description in RNAcentral is "tRNA-Met". It matches the Rfam family "tRNA". From Rfam's summary of the family: Transfer RNA (tRNA) molecules are approximately 80 nucleotides in length. Their secondary structure includes four short double-helical elements and three loops (D, anti-codon, and T loops). The record is from RNAcentral. Lineage: Bacteria; Pseudomonadati; Pseudomonadota; Alphaproteobacteria; Rhodobacterales; Paracoccaceae.